GCUCUGACGAGUACCGCUCCCUUUUUUUGGCCCUUUGUGAAUGAGAGAACCACAGGAUGGGACGCAGCUCAACACUGAGUCUCGGCUUAAAUCUCGCCUAGAGAUGCCUUCUCGAACCUCCCAGUUCAACUAGCUCCACUUCUCGUCUCCACCAAGUUACCCGGUUUUGUUUUCCUCGUGACUCUCAGAACAUUUUCCUGUUUAUAUAUGUGUUUGUUGAUUAUCUGA
Long non-coding RNA from Herpailurus yagouaroundi (jaguarundi), 228 nucleotides. RefSeq lists it as uncharacterized. The transcript has 2 exons. The record is from RefSeq and is a predicted model, not a curated record. NCBI's taxonomy places the organism in Eukaryota, Metazoa, Chordata, Mammalia, Carnivora, Felidae.